RNAcentral lists this ribosomal RNA (463 nucleotides) under uncultured bacterium. Its description in RNAcentral is "partial 16S ribosomal RNA". It matches the Rfam family "Bacterial small subunit ribosomal RNA", at positions 28 to 507 of the family's 1533-position model. The record is from RNAcentral.
GAUGAACGCUGACAGAAUGCUUAACACAUGCAAGUCUUUGGCGAAUCUGUGCUUGCACAGGCUAGCCAAGGCGGACGGGUGAGUAACGCGUAAAGAACUUGCCCUGCAGACAGGGAUAACAGACGGAAACGACUGAUAACACCUGAUACAGUUGCCGGCACGCAUGUGCCUGGCAAUGAAAAGAGAUGCUGCAGGAGAGCUUUGCGUCCUAUUAGCUUGUUGGUGAGGUGACGGCUCACCAAGGCGAUGAUAGGUAGCCGGCCUGAGAGGGUGAACGGCCACAAGGGGACUGAGAUACGGCCCUUACGCCUACGGGAGGCAGCAGUGGGGAAUAUUGGAAAAUGGGGGCAACCCUGAUCCAGCAAUUCUGUGUGCACGAAGAAGGUUUUCGGAUUGUAAAGUGCUUUCAGCAGGGAAGAAGAAAGUGACGGUACCUGCAGAAGAAGCGACGGCUAAAUACGUG